AACGAACGCUGGCGGCAUGCCUAACACAUGCAAGUCGAACGAGACCUUCGGGUCUAGUGGCGCACGGGUGCGUAACGCGUGGGAACCUGCCCUUAGGCUCGGAAUAACUCCCCGAAAGGGGUGCUAACACCGGAUAAUGUCUUCGGACCAAAGAUUUAUCGCCUUUGGAUGGGCCCGCGUUGGUUUAGCUAGUUGGUAGGGUAAAAGCCUACCAAGGCGACGAUCCAUAGCUGGUCUGAGAGGAUGAUCAGCCACACUGGGGCUAGGACGCGGCCCGGAAUCCUACGGGAGGCAGCAGUGGGGAAUAUAGGACAAUGGGCGGAAGGCUGAUCCAGCAAUGCCGCGAGAGUGAUGAAGGCCUUAGGGUUGUAAAGCUCUUUUACCCGGGAUGAUAAUGACAGUACCGGGAGAAUAAGCUCCGGCUAACUCCGUG
This 433-nucleotide ribosomal RNA is filed under the name uncultured bacterium. RNAcentral describes it as "partial 16S ribosomal RNA". It matches the Rfam family "Bacterial small subunit ribosomal RNA", at positions 29 to 507 of the family's 1533-position model. The record is from RNAcentral.